Molecule: ribosomal RNA, 460 nt
Filed under: uncultured bacterium
Lineage: Bacteria
Description: partial 16S ribosomal RNA
Rfam family: Bacterial small subunit ribosomal RNA
Source: RNAcentral
CCUACGGGAGACAGCAGUGAGGAAUAUUGGUCAAUGGGCGCGAGCCUGAACCAGCCAAGUCGCGUGAAGGAUGACGGCCCUACGGGUUUUAAACUUCUUUUGUCAGGGAGCAAUUUGGUCCACGCGUGGGCUUAGCGAGAGUACCUGAAGAAAAAGCAUCGGCUAACUCCGUGCCAGCAGCCGCGGUAAUACGGAGGAUGCGAGGGUUAUCCAGAUUUAUUGGGGUAAAAGGGUGCGUAGGCGGAAUAUCAAGUCAGCGGUAAAAAUUCGGGGCUAAACCCCGUCGUGCCGUUGAAACUGAUGGUCUUGAGUGGGCGAGAAGUAUGCGGAAUGCGUGGUGUAGCGGUGAAAUGCGUAGAUAUCACGCAGAACUCCGAUUGCGAAGGCAGCAUACCGGCGACCAACUGACGCUGAAGCACGAAAGCGUGGGUAUCGAACAGGAUUAGAUACCCUAGUAGUC